This 599-nucleotide long non-coding RNA is filed under the name Ananas comosus (pineapple). Its description in RNAcentral is "long non-coding RNA (ACOM_LNC031424)". The record is from RNAcentral. Lineage: Eukaryota; Viridiplantae; Streptophyta; Magnoliopsida; Poales; Bromeliaceae.
GCCGACGAUUUGUAUUGGACACGGUUAAUGAUUUACCGUGUCCAAUACAACUAGCCAGCCUUAGCCCUUUUUUUGGUGCCAAAAACCAAAUCAAAAUACAUUUCACAACAUCAGCAUAUUUUUGGAGCAAAAAAUAAAAUCAAUACACAUCAUAACAUCACAACACAAUAAUACAAUACAGGUACCUAAACGCAACAGUACAAUACAACAUCAUAGCAUCACAACACAACAGUACAAUAUAACAUCACUACCAAUAGAAUCUCAAUAAAUUAUCAAUACCAGAAAAUCACAACAGAAUAUUCAAAAUUAAAGCAAGUUUUAUAAUAAUAUAGAAAUAUAAUAUUACAUUUUCCUCCUACCCCCUCGACCACGUCGCCUACCACGUUCGCGACCACGAUCAACACCAUACUCAUUAAAAGGCUCUAAGAUCUCCAACUGGUCCAGAUGCUCGAUAGCAGCACCCUCAAUAACCGGCUCAAUCACAACAGUAGUAGGUGUCGGUAGUAUGUCUGGCCGUGGAGAAGCUGAAGAGGAGGGCUGAUCUGUACGGAUAGACCUCAUAUGUCGUCGGCGCUUAUAAUAAACAAUAUCAACUGCUC